UUAUUUAGAAAAACCAACCCUGGGUUGGAAUGCCUUUGACGGACCCAGGGAUAGGGCCUCCUGGGUAAAACCGGGCAGAGAGCAAGGUGCUGCAUGGCCGUUGUCAGCUCGUGUUGUGAGAUGUUGGGUUAAGUCCCGCAACGAGCGCAACCCUUAUCCAUAGUUGCCAGCGGUUAGGCCGGGCACUCUAUUGAGACUGCCGUUGACAAACCGGAGGAAGGUGGGGAUGACGUCAAGUCCUCAUGGCCUUUAUGUCCAGGGCUACACACGUGCUACAAUGGCAGGUACAAAGCGCUGCAAACCCGCAAGGGGGAGCCAAUCCCAAAAAGCCGGUCUCAGUUCGGAUUGGAGUCUGCAACUCGACUCCAUGAAGCUGGAAU
This 380-nucleotide ribosomal RNA is filed under the name uncultured bacterium. RNAcentral describes it as "bacterial SSU rRNA". It matches the Rfam family "Bacterial small subunit ribosomal RNA", at positions 956 to 1332 of the family's 1533-position model. The record is from RNAcentral.